This 666-nucleotide long non-coding RNA is filed under the name Rattus norvegicus (Norway rat). RNAcentral's name for it is "long non-coding RNA NONRATT031985". Lineage: Eukaryota; Metazoa; Chordata; Mammalia; Rodentia; Muridae. The record is from RNAcentral.
ACUGUUUCCAUCCGUCAAGUAAUUCUAUACUUAGAACAUGUGUUCUGCAUAGCGAGUUGGUUUAUAAACCCUCGUCAAAGGAGCUAAAGUAAAGGUUUCAGGCACAGCCCAUUCUUCAGAAGUGUUUGCGCCAACCAAAGGCAGACAAAGCGAAAUCCGAGCUGUAAGUUGUCCACGUGGAGCUUCCUGCUUGCCUGGGUGCUGAGUGCCUUAAGGGUGAACCUGUACUGGCAGGAUCUCCGAGGCUCCCAGGACCCUUUCCACCGACCAGCUAGGAGCUGUCAGAAAAGGGAGGAACGGUGUUCUGCAAGCAUCUCCAGGAGGGGUUAUCAGCAUCACCACCAUUACCGCCGUCUUACAGGUAACUCCACAAGCUUGCUGAACGUCAGACACACCGCUUGAAUCAGGACGGCUGUUUCCAAAUCGUGGCUGUUGAACUGUGCAGCUUAACCCAGACUUGCAUCUUUGGACCCCGGGUCUGGGACUCCUCUGAUGCCUGAGGACUGCCCCAUCUCUCCUUCUUCCUUUUGCCCUUGUCUCUGAUGGAGGACACUUUAUUGCCUCUCUACUGUCCCCUCCCCUGGUCUCCCACUGCUGCUGUGGAGGGCCCCAGGGCCUGCCCUCCAGCUGAAGGCUGUUGCUGCCUAGGCUGAGUCAGAAUAGCCC